Molecule: long non-coding RNA, 252 nt
Filed under: Sinocyclocheilus anshuiensis
Lineage: Eukaryota; Metazoa; Chordata; Actinopteri; Cypriniformes; Cyprinidae
Description: lncRNA (ENSSANG00000021548.1)
Source: RNAcentral
CUGUGAUUUAAGGCCUGUGCUUCAACAGUAAAUCGAUCUGAGUGGAAGAGCCUGAGUGGCCAGCAGCAGAGAAGCAAAUCCAGCAAGCACGCCAGGAAUGAUGGAGUCUGGUGUGAUGAAUUGCUGACCUGACCUUUGUCCUUGCCAUUCUGAUGUAUCAUCAUCGCCUGGCUCAACAGCACAGGUAUGGGCCUUUGAAACGAUGGAUGCAUUGUUAGCUCAGCCAUUAUUAACGCCCAGGCUCCAGCAUGG